CACGGGAGCUUGCUCCUGGUGGCGAGUGGCGAACGGGUGAGUAACAUAUCGGAACGUAUCCAAUAAUGGGGGAUAACUAAGCGAAAGCUUGGCUAAUACCGCAUACGCCCUGAGGGGGAAAGCUAGGGAUCUUCGGACCUGGCGUUGAUGGAGCGGCCGAUAUCUGAUUAGCUAGUUGGUGGGGUAAAGGCCCACCAAGGCGACGAUCAGUAGCUGGUCUGAGAGGACGACCAGCCACACUGGAACUGAGACACGGUCCAGACUCCUACGGGAGGCAGCAGUGGGGAAUUUUGGACAAUGGGCGCAAGCCUGAUCCAGCCAUUCCGCGUGAGUGAAGAAGGCCUUCGGGUUGUAAAGCUCUUUCGCAAGGGAAGAAAGAUUACUCUCUAACAUAGAGUGAUUAUGACGGUACCUUGAUAAGAAGCACCGGCUAACUACGUGCCAGCAGCCGCGGUAAUACGUAGGGUGCGAGCGUUAAUCGGAAUUACUGGGCGUAAAGCGUGCGCAGGCUGUUUUGUAAGUCAGAUGUGAAAUCCCCGAGCUCAACUUGGGAACUGCGUUUGAAACUACAAGACUAGAAUAUGUCAGAGGGGGGUAGAAUUCCACGUGUAGCAGUGAAAUGCGUAGAGAUGUGGAGGAAUAUCAAUGGCGAAGGCAGCCCCCUGGGAUAAUAUUGACGCUCAUGCACGAAAGCGUGGGGAGCAAACAGGAUUAGAUACCCUGGUAGUCCACGCCCUAAACGAUGUCAACUAGUUGUUGGUAGAGUAAAAUCUAUGAGUAACGCAGCUAACGCGUG
Molecule: ribosomal RNA, 796 nt
Filed under: uncultured Methylophilaceae bacterium
Lineage: Bacteria; Pseudomonadati; Pseudomonadota; Betaproteobacteria; Nitrosomonadales; Methylophilaceae
Description: bacterial SSU rRNA
Rfam family: Bacterial small subunit ribosomal RNA
Source: RNAcentral